AGGCCACGCUGCCCUGAGGGGGCAGAAAGUCAGGCUUGCAGAACAGGACUGAGGCAGUUAUGGGCUCUGAAAUUUCCACUGACUGGAGAAACCCAACGGGUAUGUGCAGGGGAGGGAGUGGUUUGGUAGGGGACGGGAAGGGGGUGGGAGUGGGAGGAAGAGAUGGAUGCAUUGUCUUAAAACACUCCGUUUUCUUCCCAUCAAGUACAUUAUCUCCCCAAGGUUGUAUUACACAAAUUUACAUUUUGAAGUAAAUAUCUGGCACCACAGGCUGGCUCAUGAAAUAGAAUGUGCACAGGAAAGAGAAUCACAUGUCAUUAAAUGUGAAGAAUUAUAUAAGGUACCUAAGCUGGAUCCUGGCUUCUCAUGAUGCUCAAUGAAUUGAGAUGGAGGAGGAGAAGUGGGAGGAGAAUGAAGAGGGAAGAAGGAGAAGGAGGAAGAAGAAAUCUGUAAGCAAAGCCAUCACACUAUAGUUUUUUCCCACCGAAAGAAUGUUUAUUAAGCCAGAGCCUGGGAUAAUAAUUUGAGGGUUUGCUCAUGUCUCUCUUUUAUCAUUCAUAAUUGAAAUACUAUUGACAUUUCUUGGGCAUCUGAAGAUGAGCUUAAUUUAUUUUCAUCUUUUUUGAAAUUUGAUAUCAAUAACAUGCACGAAGCCACAUGGUGCCCAAAUGAGGCUUCAAAAGCUUCUGCUAUAAAUAAAGAAAUUGCCUGCAUUUUUUAUAGCUCUUUACAUGAUUUUAUUUGAUCCGAACAACCACUCUGUGAGAGGGGCAGAGGAGGUGUUAUUAUCUUCACUUUUUUUUUUUCAAAAAGUAUAGUAAUAUAGAUUUACAAAGCCUAAUGAAUUUCCCAAGAUUUCCUAGCCUGAUGUGUGAGACUUGAGGUUGAAAACCAGGUCUUUGAUUCUCUAUCUGCUCCCUCCAGUACAACAUGGCAUUUGCUCAAGGGAGUCAGGUCAACACAGAACCAUAAACUCAGAGUGAGAAUCCUCAUGUCAGUUGCCAAACCACGUCCUUUGAGGAUAAUAACAAAUAUGAAGUCCCUUCUCUCACUCAGUCAAUUUACCUUUCAAGCAACUCAUCACCAUCAAGUCCACUCCUGCCCCUCCUGUGCCCUGAUCUUCCUCAUGAGUCCAUAUCCCUACUUUAAAACCAGUAAAUCUCACCUUUUCUAGAAAGUUCUCCUUGAUUAAUUCUACUUUAACUUGACUUUUAAACAAAGAGGUUCUUAAUUUCUUAGUUUGCAGUAGUUCUUAGUUUGUACAUGUUGGGUUGAAUUUUUUUUUUUAAAUAGUGAUUUUAGCUAUAGUGCUGGACACAACUUUGUAUAGUAGGAAAUGGUUUUUAAAAUAUUAAACAGUUUGAAAUCGAUAUUCUAUAAAUAAAAAGAGCUGAAAAUCAGCAAUUUAACAUAGGUCAGUUCAGUCUUAACCGUCAUUUUGUAGAGAUUGUUUUUUCUCAGUUUUCUCUUUUUUUCCUUCAAGAAAUGAUGCUGGUCUGAGCUAACUGCUUGCUUCUGCCCCUAAAGUAAAAGGUGAUAACAGAAAUCAGAAGAAAAAGAGUAUCUUACACCUUGUGGGUCUCAAAAACCUGAACCAUCAAGGAAAAGACAUCAAUCUAAGGAAGAGGAAGUUUGGGGGAAAACAACAAACCUCUCCACCCCUUUGGUGAGGAGGGAAACUAAAGGGAUUAGAGCCAACUCCAUGUGUAUAAGUUUCAACGAUCUGAGCAAGAAGGCUGGAUUGAGAAGAUCUUCGGCUCCUCUGAAGAGGGCACUGCCCAGCAUCAGUGGACAGAAGCCUUUGGGAAGCUGAGGCAGCACCAGGAGUUCACUGGGAUGGUCACUCCACAAAGGGUGCUGCCUCAAAGCUCCAUUUCCUGUCUGUUGAUAAUUACUAGCGUGCUGCUCCUUGAUCACCCCAAAAAGAAUCCAAGGGAAUGACUCUACUCUCUGUCCGGAAAGUCUGCCUGGCCCCUGCCCACCUCCUCCCCAUAGACACCUCCUCCCCAUAGACACCUCCUCCCCUUCACUCCAGAGCCCCCAGCCCCAAGCCUUGUCUACCCCAUACUUUUGCAAGGUGCUUGACCAAUUCGCCCAAGGCAGAAACGUCUUUCAGGCACCUGUGUCCCAUCUUGCGCUUAUGCAUGAUGUCGCAACGCUCAAGCACUUUUCUAACCAUCUUUCCUUAUAUUUUUCCAACAGAUUUUUCAAAUAAGUAAGAGAGAAAAGUGCUAAGAAUUAAAUACCCUCUUUUUAUUUGUUCGCUGGGUCUUCCUCAAGAGAUACACCCCACCUAUUAAGAUAUUUCUCCCUCAUUUUAAUGUGUUCAGAAAAAAGGGAAGAGCUGCAAUAACUGUUACUGAGUUACUUGUGUUCCAGGGGCUUUCAGAAGAUUAAUCUGGCAUUGGUGCCCGAGACGGAUGAAGUGGUGAGAAGCCAGGUCUUGGGGCGGGGGGGCUUUUGCAGGAAUCUGGGAAUGAGGUGACUUGCUCAGAGUUACUUAUCACACUGGGCUUUAAAAAUGAUAAUUAUCUUAGUGAUCUGUUAUCUCAAAGCUGGGUUACUCACUCAGAUGAAUAAAGUACUCAUUUAUUUUUCAUUCCUUAGUGCCCUAAAGUUACUAGGCCGGAAAAGAUUUAUGUGACACAUUUAAAGGCCCAAGACAGACUAUUGAAAGAAGGCAGAUCAGUCUCAUGGAGAUUUUGCUUCCUCCUCUUUAAUCUCCUUCCCAGGCGACAUCUUAGAGCAGGUUCGAACCCCCGUCUCAAGAGGCCUUGUAAAGGAUUCUGACUUCAGAGCGAGUUGUGAUAAAACAAAAGUUGACUUUCAACAGAAGUUAGCAUGGGGGAAGUCAAAUGCGGAAGAACGUAUAAAACCUCCCACAAGUCCAUGGGCUUUGAAGGUAAACUAUUGUUUAGAGAGGGCUGGAGAUGAAUCUGGUCCCUCCCUGCCCAAGUGUCAGGGCUCUGUGAGUAUAACUCCACUUAUAAAGCCCUUGAACACUGUUUACCUUGAAUUUCAGUUUUCCUCUUUAUUGCCCAGUUGCUCAAGCCACAAGUUAGACGUGAUCCUCAUUUCCCUUCCUCUUCUUCAACCCGAACAUCCCAUCAACCACUAAUUCUCAUGGCUCAGUGGCUCAAACUUUUUUCUUUUGUCUUUUUAGGGCCACACCCACGGCAUAGCGAGGUUCCCAGGCUAGGGGUCCAAUCGGAGCUAUGGCUGCCAGCCUACGCCACAGCCACAGCAACGCUGGAUCCUUAACCCAUUGAGCGAGGCCAGGGAUGGAAUCCGAGAUCUCAUGGUCCCUAGUCAGAUUCGCUUCCGCUGCACCACAACGGGAACUCCGUGGCUCAAAUUUUAAUCACCUGGCCUCGGCGCUUCUGAGAAUGUGCGUCUGUAACACAUUCCCAGGUGAUGCUGUCCGUUUGGAGACCACACAUUGAGAACUACUGCUGUCGACUGUUUCCUGAGCCGCUUUCACGUUUCUCCAUUUCUGCCCAUUUCCGAGAGGACUAUUUUAAUUCGGGUCACCAUGGUACACUGCUUGUUUCAUGGCAGUGAGCUCCUUUAAGAUACAAAUCUCCUUGAUUUGUGGUCAUGUCACUCCAAUCUCUGUAUCUCUGGUUAUAUUGCCACCUUCUCUUCUGCCUGAAAACUCCGUCUGCCUCUCUUAAAGUAUAUCCAGAUAAUCCAGAAUCAAACUCCUUCUCUCAAAACCCGUAAACUAAGCAUAUCCUUUGCCAUGCAAAUAAGGUACAAAUUUGCCACAAUUUGCCACUCUUUGUUAUAUUAGAUAAUAUUCACACAUUCCUGGGUUUAGACAUGCACAUAUCCUUUGGUGCCUACUAUGCAACUCUUAAGAGAAGAUUUAUGACUUGUUUUACAUUCUGGGAUAAAUUUUAUAAAAUAGAUUAUUUAUCCCAUAAAAAUUCCAGUAAAGUCCUCCACAGAUUUUGAACUAAUCAAAUAACUAGUUGUAACAAAUUGUUUUAAGUCAGUGAUUCAAUUCCUUUAACUUUUAUAUUUCUAACCAAGUUUUCUUUCUCUGAUCAGUUUUAUCCAAUUUUUUUUCCCCCUAUGAGACAGCUCAGCUUCUCUAAGUUUUGAAAUGUAUUUGUAUAAUGGUACUUACGAUACUUAGUUAAGGAUUUUUUCAUAGAUACUGCAUCUCCAGUUACGUUCUUUUCAUGUCAAAUGCUAUUUAUGAAAGUUUCCUGUAAUUUUUAGAUAAAUCUUGUCUAAGAUGUGUCCAUUUUAUUAUUCCAGAAAAUAAAAUGUUUGCUUUUGUUAAUACUC
This 4296-nucleotide long non-coding RNA is filed under the name Sus scrofa (pig). RNAcentral describes it as "lncRNA (ENSSSCG00000061768.1)". Lineage: Eukaryota; Metazoa; Chordata; Mammalia; Artiodactyla; Suidae. The record is from RNAcentral.